Oncorhynchus mykiss (rainbow trout) is the source of this 1328-nucleotide long non-coding RNA. RefSeq lists it as uncharacterized. The record is from RefSeq and is a predicted model, not a curated record. Lineage: Eukaryota; Metazoa; Chordata; Actinopteri; Salmoniformes; Salmonidae.
UAAAGCAGGAAUCGACAGAUUGUGGGCGACCCUAUGCCGCCCCACGUCUUGUGUAAUGUUUUCACUUCGAACAAAAACAAGGGGAUUAAAUCCUGAGCCACCUUGGGCUGGCCUUCUGGGAAAGGUGUGUCUUUUGCGUUAAAUCCUGCCUACUCGAAUUACCCUGCUGCUAUGGCCCCGGAGCUGGAGAGGAAGUGAAAGUAACUUGCAAGCUAAUGUUACAGCUGCCAGAAACAAACACAGAGCAGAUGAAGCCAACAAGCUAGCUAACUUGUUAACCAAUAAACUGUCCUUGUAGCAGGGAAAACAGAAGCAAUAAUCAUUCUUGGUUCUUGGAUCUGAAUCAACUCAACCCCAAAAGAAAAAAAGCGAGCAAAAGACUGCUCAUGACCAAUCCAUCAACCGGAUAAACAUUGGAAUUAAUUUUGAAAGGUGGAAGAGUGAAUCCAAAAUGGUCAUCGUUCUCAUGGACUUGUAGGGAGAUACUGGUGGAGACAGUCUGAUUUCGAGGGAACCUGAGGUUGUAGAAAAUCAACACCAAAAGAGAGUCUCUGUUUUCUAGCCCUCCCGGUUCUGACCUGUUCUGCCUGCCCUGACACUGAGCACGCCUUCCUGACCAUUCAGCCUGCCCUGACCUCUAGCCUGCCUGCCCCCUGUACCUCUUGGACUCUGACCUGGUUAAUGAACUUCUGCCUGUUCUCGACCUGCCUAUUGCCUGCCCCUUGUAUUCUAAUAAAUAUCAGAGACUCUAACUAUCUGCCUCCUGUGUCUGCAUCUGGGUCUCACCCUGUGUUGUUAAACAAUUUGGUUUCGGGAGAUAAGUCACUGCCAAUAAACGUUAAUGUUAGCAUUUUUGGUAGAAAUACAUUACUUAACUCAGCAUAGUAUGUCUAAAGUUGUGUAACACUUUUACAACAGUCUGGCACUUUUGUAAUAAAAUUGUCAAUAUAUUGUCUUAAACAUCUUCUGUAUUGUGUGCUUAUUGUUUAACCAUUCAUACAGUAUGUUCUAGGGCAGUGGUUCUCAAACUUUUUUGGUUACUGUACCAGCAACUGAAUUUUGCUCUGCCUGGAGUACCGCCUCAUGUGCAUUUUACCAGUAAGCCUAUGAUCUCAUGAGUCUUCUAAAGUACCCCCUGGUUGGGAACCACUGUUCUAGGGGACAUUAAGACCUUAACCCCUGUUGGUAUAAGUCCUUAAAUCGCAAUAUCUACUAAACUAACAUAUGGAAUUAUUUUAAGAUGAUAAUAAAACAUGUAAUUUAGCCAUUUGAUUUACAUUUUUAGGACCCCUGUAGGUAUAAAAAAAAAAUAAACAAAUGAUUUGCUG